UAUACAAUAUAUAUUAUAUACACCAAAUAAUAUAAUAAAAUUAAUAUAAAUGUCAGAUUUAAAAAAAAUAACAAUUAAUGUCUAUGCACAAAAAUCAAAUAUUUUUCUUAUCUUAAAUAAAUAUAUCUUAAAAUAAGAAAUUUAAAUAAAAAACUUUUUUAAAUUAAUAUCUCUAUAAAUUAAUAAAUUUUUAAAGUACCAACUUUAAUAAUUUAUGGAGGUUAUACUGUAUAUACUUUUUGGAUUAUACAAUAGGAUUUGCAGAUGACCAGAUAUUCUUGCGAAAGUCAGAAUCGUAAAAUAAUUCCUGAUUUUUUUGUUUUGUCACAAAGGGUAAAUAAUAAGUUUUCACCUUUUUAAAUUAGUUUUGCAUUUGAUUAAAUAUGAGGUAUACAAUUGUUUCCGGACAUUGUGUGCCAGACUGUCCAUCCUUAUAUUCUGCGUCUCGGGUACAUGCAUGAACUCGUUUCAAUAUUUUUGUUAACAUACGUAUCAGUGGUCCAUUCGAACCAGAUUCAUUCGGAUGUUUUGGUAAACAUUCUAAGUAAUGUGGGAAACAAUGUGAAUUGAAUGUGUUAAUAUUCGUUGUAUUUCAGCUUAAGAUCCGAGUAAGUUUUGGCAAUAAUUGUAAAUUUUAUAUAAAUUUAUAUUUAUAUUCAUUCAGCAUAUACAUUUUUUCCUAACAUCUAUUUAUAUUUUUGUGGUUGUGUGCGAUAAGAAGAAAAUAGAUAGAUGUGAAGAAGGCAAAAGACUGUGUGAAUUCAUUCAUGUUCAGAUAUGUUCGAUCAAAAAGAUUGAAGACACUAUUAAUCACUCAUAUUUUGCAGUAUUUGAUGAUUUAAUAAAUAAAUAAAUAUAUAUAUAUAUAUAUUAUUCUGUUAUAUCAAUUUUAUAAUCAAAAUUCAAAUAAACAUUUGUUUAUUCUACAAUUUAGUCUAGUGUUCAAGAAAUCAUUAGGCGUUAAGCGAAUAGUGAUUCAACGCCUAACACCUAUCCGAUGAGUAAAUUAUUAGUUAGUCGGCCUACACGAUUACGGUUUAACAAUUAUAACAAUACACUAUAUAUAUAUAUAUAUAUAUAUAUAUAUAUAUAUAUAUAUAUAAUUGAUAAACCGUAAACGUGUAGACUCACUAACUAAUAAUAGAUUAAGUAUCAUGAUUUAUGAAUACUAAUGUUCAUAUUACUUGUUUUUAUCAAAUUGUAUAUUAAAAUAAAGUAAUAAUUACUACAAUUUAUAAACACUAAGUUAUUUAUUAUUUAUUAUUACCCUAUUAUAAUUACCUAGGCGUUUUAUAAAAAAACUCUAUGGUUCUAGUCUAGAGAGUCUAACGCCUAAAACAAUUUUUAGACCACUUAUAUUUUCUAGAUAGUUGUAUUCUCAUUUCCAUAUAGUAAUUGUAUAAUUCCGCACAUCUGUUGUUUAACAUAUAGAAAUUUAUUAUGUGUUUCAUUCAAUUCAAGUCAUGCUUAAUGGUUAUAUUGUUCUCCUGCUAUAGCUCAAAUGCCUCUUAAAAUUUAGUCAUCUUAUUUUUCAAUGUAUGUUUCUCAGUAAAAAGAUAUCUUCUUAAAGUAAUCCGUGAUCAUGGUUUUACUGCAGAAUACACACAUUCGCUCACAAUAAUCUUGUUCCCACAUGAUCACGAUUUGAGGCAAAAUGUCCAUUUCAUGAUUCUCAUCAUCAUCGACAUAUUUGGCAUUGGAAUUUUAUCAAACUUAUCUUCAUCAUCUUUAUCGUAACUAGGUUGUAGAAUAAUGUGUACAUGAUAAGGUUUCAGACACACACAUAUAAGACAAAUCUUUUUUUUUAAGUCUGACAGUUUUUGAUGCAUCAUCAUCGAUCGGGUUUUAGGGGGAUUUCACCGUUGAUCGUGAAUCGUGAUUAGUUCUUCUUUAUAUGCCGUUUUGCAUUUUCAUCGUUUUAAGAUUUUGGUUUAAAUGUCCGAAUUAUUCAAAUUUUGGUUUUUGGAGAGCCGAAACCAAAUCCGAUCCGAAUAGAAGUAUUCCGAAUACCCGAAUGUAUCUGAAAUAGAUUUAUCUGCUUAUCUAUAUUAAUUAUUUUUAGAUUUAAUAUAUAUAAAAACAUAUAGAAUAUAUAUGAUACUUUUAAGCUGGUUUAAAUACUUGAAAAUAUAUACAAAUAACCAAUAGUAAAUAUAUAAAAUAGUAAAAGUAUACUUAAAACACCAAAAAUACUUAAAAUAAUUAUUGAUUAUCUAUCCAAAUAUUUGAACUAAAAUAAUUAUAUGUUGAGUUUAGGUAUUAUGACAUAUGUUAAUCAAAUUUAUAUUUAAUAUAUUAUUUUGUUUAUAUUUUUUUGAGAAAUUUAAAAUAUAUAAAUAUAUAAUGAAUUUUAAAAUUUUAAAAGUAAUUUAAAUGGGUUAUCCGAACUCGAACCGAACCCGCAAAAAUCCGAAGCGAACCCGAACUAAAAUUUAGAAAUAUUAGAAUGACGCUGAAAUCUUUGACCCCGGAAACCCGAAACCCAAACAUACCUAAACCGAACCCGAAUAGGUACCAGAUAGAUAGUUUCUCAUAAUAUAAUGGACUUCCAAGUUUUCUUAAAAAUGUAAGCUCAUUACUUUGAUUUCUCUUAAUAUAUUGUUAUUCAUGUUUCCAAACAAACUUAUUUUUUUAAUUAUAAUCUAUGUUUCCAAACAAACCUUUUUUUUUUAAACUGCAAUCCAUGUUUCCAAACAAUAUUUAAAAAAAAAACUGUAAUUUAUGUUUCCAAACAAACUUUUUAAAAAAAUUGCUAUACAUGUUUCCAAACAAAUCUAUUUUGUACUUGAGUUUUAAUAAGAUAGAUAUAUAUUUUAACAAUCUAUAAUAUUUUCUUCUAAAAUAAGAAGAUUUUGUCGAAUAUAUUAUUACUUCAAAUAUUGAUUUUUUUCCUUUUACUCUAGAUUUUCACCCCAAAAGUUCUUAUUCUUUGUAAGUUUCCUAAUUAAUGUUCAUCACUAAAUUGAGUAGUCAAAGAAAAAAAAAUUGCAUUCUAUAAAUUCACAAAUUAUAUUUUAUUGUUUAUAUCCAGAAAUACCCCCUUACCAAAACUUUUAAAAAUCUUUCCAGGAUAACAUUUGAACGUGGCUGUCUUUGAUAGGACAACCGUUAGAACAUUCUUAUUUCAAUAUUAACCUAGUACGUAACCAAACUCGGCGUACAAAUAAGACACGCUUUCCCUUCUCUCUCGACACAACUUUUCUGUUACCUUUGAUCGACGAGAAAGGUAGUGAACGAAGAAGAAGAUGAGUCAACCUCCAAUUGGUGUUCCUCCUCCUCAAGGUUACCCUCCGGCUCCAGGAUAUCCUCAGCAAGGUUAUCCUCCGCCGCAGGGAUAUCCUCAGCAAGGAUAUCCUCCUCCUCAGCAACAACAAGGAAAGUCGGGUCCUGGUAUGAUUGAAGGAUGUCUAGCUGCUAUGUGCUGUUGCUGUGUCUUGGAGGCUUGCUUCUGAGUUGGAAUCUUGAAGCUGCGAAGUUAGAUUGGAUCUGGAUUGUUUGUUGGUUUAUUUUAAUUGAUCACAUCUUAUUAUUAUAUAUUUCUCUUUCGUUAUAUAUUAUAUGAUAUAUAAAUAUGUUUGUUCAUCUGGAUCAUGAAUUAGUGUUGAAGACUUGAUAUCUUAUGUUUUAUUACUUUAUCUUGUUCGCUAUUGGGAAUGUAAACUUCUGGAUCCAACAUGACGUUGCAAACUGCAAAGUAUUGGCAAACCGUAUUUGCUUUUUCCUAGCUUUCCUUUCAAAUAUUUCGCAAUUAUUUGACUUUUCAUUCAUGGAUAGUCCUUUUAGUUUUAGACUUUGAUUAAACGCCGGGAAUUAUCUUAUUUUCGUUUUAAUCAUGCACCAGAUAAACUUAAUGUUAAGCAAAAAAUUGUGUAUUGGUUUUUAUUUUAUGUUUAAACACUCUAAAGAAAUCGUCAUCAAAAUAUUAAUUCUGAAAGUAUAUUAAAUUUAUAUGCAUCAGUAAAACGUCACGUUAGCCCAAUUUUUUAUUUGUCUUUUUUCGACAACGAAUAGCUAUUCAAUUAUUCAAACUUGAGGUGGUCCGGAUAAAUAGACCGGAAUAGAACAACCAAUAAAACAAACCUCUCUAUAGAAAGACCUCGCUGUCCUAGCUAAAGAGUAAAAAAUCUGAUUUUUUUUAUUUGUCAUAAAAGGAAAAUAAUAAUUUUUCACAUCUUUAAGUUAGUUUUGCAUUUGAUAAAAUAUGAGGUAUACUUUUGCAUUUCAAAUCAGUAAUUAGGUUAUUUGGCAAAUUUCCCAUUAAAAACUAACCAAAUUGUAUUUAAAUUAUUUUAAAUAAAAUUUUAUAUUUAUAUUUUGUACCUACAAGGUAUAAACUUACUUAGAAAUUACAAAAUAUUUAAUUACUUUAUUUGUUGAUAUAUGUUCAUGAGGUUUAAAAUUUUAGCAGAUUAGUAUAUUUAUAAAACUUCCUACUGAUCAUCUCUUUAUUUAAAAAAAAAAACAAUUUUGACAAAACCACAUGUAUACAUUUUUAAGAAAAUAUUAUUAUAUAUAAGGAACCAAACUAAUGCAACAGAUGAUAUUAAUUUGAUUUGGUUUAAUUAAAAUAAAAAUAAUUAUACUUCAGUUAAAAAAAUAUAUGUAACUCAAUAUACCCACAAAAUGAAUAACUAUACUAAUCUAAAUUUUUAUUGAGAAUGUUUCGAUUUUUUUUUGUUGUCAAAAACAAGCAGACUCGACUAAGAUUUUGCAAACCAAACUGAUAACUCUGAACGCAUGUGGACGACGAAAAAUGAUUGUUUUUGGACAUUGCGUGCCAGACUGUUCGUCCUUGUAUUCUGCGUCUGGGGUACAUGCAUGAACUCGUUUCAAUAUUUGUUUUAACAUAUGUAUCAGUGGUCCAUUCGUACCAGAUUCAUUUGAAUGUUUUGGUAAACGUACUAAGGAAUGUGGGAAACAAUGCGAAUCAAAUGUGUUAAUAUUCAUUGUAUUUCUGCUUAAGAUCCGAGUAAGUUUUGGCAAUAAUCGUAAAUUUUAUAUAAAUUUAUAUUUAUAUUCAUUCAGCAUAUACAAUUUUUUCCUAACAUAUAUUUAUAUCUUUGUGGUUUUGUUGUUGUGGGUAAUGAGCAGAAAAAUAGAUCGAUGUGAAGAAGGCAAUAAACAGUGUGAAUUCAUGUUCAGAUAUGUGCGAUCAAAAAGAUUGAAGGCAAUAUUAAUCACUUAUAGUUUUCAGUAUUCAAUGAUUUAAUAAAUAUAUGUAUUAUUAUGCUAUAUAAAUUUUAUAAUCAAUUCAAAUAAACAUUUGUUAAGUGUAAAAUUUAGUCUAGUGUUCAAGAAAUCAUUAGGCCCUAAGAAAACGGUGAUUCAACGCCUAACGCCUAUCCGACGCGUAAGUUAUUAGUUAGUCGGCCUAUACGAUUAUGGUUUACCAAUUAUAACAAUAUACUAUAUAUAUAUAUAAUUGGUAAACCGUAAACGUGUAAACUGACUAACUAAUAAUAUAAGUUAAGUAUCAUGAUGUAAGAAUACUAAUGUUCACAUUGCUUGUUUUCAUAAAAUUUUAUAUUAAAAUAAAGUAAUUACUAUAAUUUAUAAACGGGGUUUUUGCAAAUAUGACUCAAAACUUGAAGUCAAACACAAAACUAACCCAUGUUUUUUUAUAGAAUUUUGACUUGCCUCUUUCAUCCCCAAAGUUCAGAUUAUUCACGAAAAUACCAUCACUUUUUUUUUCUUUUGAAAUUGCAUAUUUUACUCUAUCACCCUCAUUUUCCUCAAGUAUUCACAAUAUUGUCAUUUCUAUCAAUACACCAACCACCAUGAACAACCAAUUUGAAGCUCUUAAUGCACCUAAAAAUCGAUUUACACUCUUUCUUUCUUAAUUCUUAUGAACUAAAAACAACAUCUCUUUCACUUUCUCUCCAUAUUCAUCCAAAAAAACCCAAGAUUUUGAUUCUAAAAUUUUUAUGGUUCAUAGAGCCAUUGAAACUUACGAUUCUUGGUGGGUCACUUAUGUUUGAGAUUUUGGGUGCUUGGAAAAGACUUAUGUGUGUUAAACAAGUUAUCUCACUGGUUGAAAAGACUUUUAUUGUAACUAGGGUGUUGAAUAAUGUGUACAUGAUAAGUUUUCAUACACACAUAUAAGAUAUAUUUUUUUAUAAAAGUCUGGCAGCUUUUUAAUGCAUCAUCAUCAAUCGGGUUUUAGAGGGAUUUCACCGUUGAUCGUGAAUCGUGAUUGAGUUCUUCUUUAUACGCCGUUUUGCAUUUUCAUCAUUUUCGUUGUGGGGUUUGAAUAUGCUUGAAAUUUUUUACUUUAUUUUAAAUUUUCCUCGUUUGUGGAUUUAAUUAUGUUUAAUUUUACCUAAAACUAUUUAGAACUUAUCAAAAUGAUUACUAAUUUGUAAGUUACAUUAAACAUAUAUACAAUUUAGUAUUGAAAAUUUACAAAUGAAGAAAGUUUAAAUAUGAUAGAUCUUAUAUAAAGCUAUUUAGAACUUAUCCAAAAUAUUUCUAAUUCAUAUAGGUAACAUAUCUCCAAUAGUUAGAUAGUAUUAUCCAAUCUUUGAUAAAAAAAAACAAAAAAUAGUAUACCCAAUCUGUCAUUUAUAUAAGAUUACUAUCUUUUAUUUUUUGGUCAAAUAUUGGAUAUACUAUCUAACUAUUGGAGACAAUUUAUAUAUAAAUAAUACACUUUUACCAAUGAAACAAUCACUUUCUAUACAUAAGAAAAAUCCUCAUAGACAUGGAGAACACAAAAAUGUUCGUAUUGGUAGCGAUGAUGUUAAUGAUUGGAAACCAUCUUACUGUAUCGGUGUACGCGGAUAAUCCAAUAACGCGUGCAUUAUGCUAUUUUAAAUGUAAUGAACUAUGUCUUAUUGAUCCACGUUAUCUUCUAAACUCAGAAAAAUGUGCCAAAAAAUGUGUUAAGGAAUGUCAUAUGCCACCUGGUUAUGUAAUACAAGACACAAUCAACCAAAUUGAUUAUUUCUGCCAAGUGGGUUGUGUUAAUCAUCGUUGUGCUCUCACUGAAAAUCAAAAUAUGGAGAAAGCUGCGGGCUGUGUGAAUUCAUGUUCAGAAAUUUGUAAUAAAAAGAACUAAUAGCGAUAGAAUAUGUUAUAUUAUAACAAUUUAAUGUUUAAUGAAGAUAGUAUGAAUCAAAUCAAUUUAAUAUACAAUUCAAAGCCCGUUUUUUAAAUCGCA
Brassica rapa (field mustard) is the source of this 7159-nucleotide long non-coding RNA. RefSeq lists it as uncharacterized. The record is from RefSeq and is a predicted model, not a curated record. NCBI's taxonomy places the organism in Eukaryota, Viridiplantae, Streptophyta, Magnoliopsida, Brassicales, Brassicaceae.